GUUUUUCCUUUUCAUGUCAAAAAAGGGAUAUACGAUUUUUUUUAAAUGCUUUGAUUUUCGUUUUAUAUUUAGAAUAACAAGAAAGUAAAAUCAGUAAGAGACAGAAACGAAAAAAGGUCCGAUUUUUCAUUUUCUGAGACCGGAAGUGGUCAUCAGCAAGUGUGGAGCCAAACGACAACAAGAUUCUCGGAGGGCGGAGCCAGAGAGCAGUGAUUGGUCAGACCAUAGAUAAUAUAGAAGACAGCGCGCUAGCGUAUCUAGUCUAUGUGUAUCUAUGGUCGGCACGUCUGGUAGCAUCUCUGGCUGCUGUUGAUCUUGUUUUUGGAGUAAAACACGGUGGAAGCUGAAUUAGUGAGGAUGACUCCUGCUCCUGUCAUCUCUAAGCUCCUCACACAUCUUUACCUGCACAUGAGGAAAAUCACUCCUGUAGAAUGCAGUGGUUCAUCAGAACCUCUGGGGAUGUCCUGUGGAUUCUGUGGAUCCUGUGGGUUGCAGGGUGGGUCCUACCUAGACCAGGCUGAUCCUGGACCAUCCCACAGAUGCUCCAUCAGAUCUGGAUGUGGGGAGUGUGGAACCCAGAUGUUCAGAUGGAGAUGAUGCCACAUCUGGUCCAGCUGAUGGAAGGUCUUGAAGUUCUCUGACUGGCCUCGACUGAAGAUGGUCGUCUCACUGGAUUUAAGGUUCAGAUGCUCAGUAACAAACUCCACCAAUGAGCCAACAGGGAAGCUUUAGGUUUAUUAAAUGUUGCUAUGAAGGUUUCGCUGUUUUUCUUUGUGAAUGCAAUGUGCUCCAACUGAAACUUGAAUUAGAACUUAGAAGUAAAUCCUUCCAUCUGAAAGGAUUUAGUUGCAUUAAUAACCUCAUAACAUUCUAAUUUUUAUUCCAGUCUUGGUUGGAAAUAGAAUCUCUGUAUUGAUUCAGGUAAAAACUGAACUUCACAGCAUGUUGGAGCAAAACAACCAGAUGAAAACUGUGAUGGUGUUGGAUUGUCAGACCGUAAUGUUGCAGCUCAAAGCAGCUUUUCUAGCUCAGUUCAUUCUGACAUUCAGCUAUGAAUCAACACAGCAGAUGGUGAUCCAUGCUGUGGAAGUCUCACAUCUCCCGAUUUAAUGGAGCUGCUUUGCACUUUUUAUUCACCAACACUUUAUUUAAUAAAAGUCCCAUCUAGUUUUUAUGAGGAAUGUGAUGUUUUAAUUUCUCUGUGAAUAACUGCAGUCUAAUGCAACAGCUGGAGUUGUAACAUCUGUCCUGAUAUUGAUCAUGAAGUAUUGAUCAGAAUACUUAUGGUUAGCAGUCAUCCCUGAAGUUUUACAUUAAAAUCUUUACUUGUGUUGUGAACUUUGGUAAGAAGCAGAAACUUUUGCGUUGCCAUGGAUACAUGAGUGUUAAAUUCUGUCCAUGUUUCCAUUUUGGGAAAUGCAGUCCAGUUCCAGAAUGUGGAGGAAUUUAGUCUCACAAUCACAGACAACAAAUAUUAUCUGAAAGUUGGGUUAUUGUUGUUUAUCAGCACAAUACAAAGAUUGUUAGAAAUAUUCCAGUUAAGACUCUAGAAUAUCAUGAUUUAUGUAAAUUUACCUCAGUAAUAUGAAUGUUCAGGUUAAGAUUGUACAGUGAUAUUUAUUAUGUAAGUUUAGCUGAUUAAAGUUUAUGACUCUGCACUAAAAUAUUAUUUAAAUUGACAUCAUUAUUAUAAUAUUUAGGGUCAGACCCUACAGUAUUGAGAUUAAGAAAUCAAAUAUUCUAUAAAAUGUAAAUACACUGAACUCAUUUGGAUAUAUUUAAGUGAGACUCUACAAUAUUAUUUGACACAAAUCUGUCUAAAUCAAGAUUUUAAUAAUUUUCAUGCCAAACAUUUACUGGACUGAUUUAAAUAUUAAAAUCACUCCUUUCUAAUCCUCUGCUGUACGUUCAAACUUGAGGCCUUAAAUAGAAGCACACAAGUAUCUGUUUGAAGGAACUUCUGCAGAGUCCUGGUUCUAGAACAUGAUGAUAGAAUUAUAGACAAACUUUAACAAAAGCUGCCUGAGAGUUUACAGGUUUUUAUGUUGGAUUUCUUCAGUAAUUUAAUGAGUUAUCAGCAAUAAUCAAGUGUUUAUUUGAUGAACUUCAUUUCCUAAAACAUCCAGAAUUGGAGCUCAUAUCUUUGGCAGCUGUAAAGUUUCUGCUCCUUCAAAGUUCACAACACAAUGAAUGAAUUCCUAAAACACUCUCAAUGCUGGAGAGCGUUUGUGAUGCUGAAGCAGUGACCAGUUUUUCUGUUUCUUCUCUGGAGAUGCACAAUGAGGGACGUCUGCAGCGACUGAGAAAGAGUCUCACCACAUCCUGACAUGAGGAAAAAGACUUUAUUGAAGACUACAAUGAGAAAAACUAUCAGACAGCAGACGGCUGCAUUCAAGAAGACCAUCAAACAUCCACGUCAGCUGAUGGAGGUCCAAGAGUCUCACCCAACAAACAACCUACAGAGUGAAGACCUCAAAUCUGAUUGGACGGCCUCCUAUUCAGCCAUAUGUGUGAACAAAUGCCUCUAAGCUGAUUUGUUUUCUAAAAUAAAUCUAGUUUGAGUCCUAAUCUAUGCCUAUGUGUUUGCUUCUUUACACCGCUGUUAACAGUUUAGACUGUUAGGUUGUUCCAGAUAAGACAAGUACAAGAUACUUCAGAGCCGUUCUACCACGAGCCUGACAGGAAGAACUCCAACAGUUACUGAAUGUUCCUGUGGUCCCCUCAAGGCUACAGGAGGAGCCCUACGAGGACGAGCCGGUACACCUGAUGGCGGCCAGUCGCUGUGGUUCAAAGCCAACACCGACUACGUGGACUUCUACUGGACCACAUGGAGACCUUCAAACCGGACCAACAAGUUCAGCGACUUCCCCGACUCGUGGGUCUGAGAACGCCGCCGAGCCUCGGUCCAGCCGGCCUCCUGUCUGUGGGUGUUUGAGUGCUGAGAGGUUUGUGGAUGCAUGUGAACGUUCUGUGUUGAAACAGCAGCUUUUGACUCAGUAACGCCAGGAAAAACCAAGAGCUCCUUUAUUUGUGACUUCCACUGAAAAACUGAUGAAAAUAAGUUUGCAAGGGUUCUGACUGAUAACAGAUUAUUAAAUAAUGAAAAUAACAGUUUAAAUAUUCCUUUAAACAAUCCUUUUAGGUCUACAUUUCCUUUACACUGACUUCUUGGUAUAUGUACAAGUAUUUUGAGUGGAAUAUACCAUUAAGCCCAAUGUUCAAGGGUUCUUCUGGGAAUAUACCAUUAAACCAACCUUUUAGGUAAAUGUUGCAGGAUGUUGAGUAGAAUAUACCAUCAGAUCAACCUUUUAGGUCUACAUUGUAAGAUUUUAGAGUAGAAUAUUACUCCAAACCAUCCUUUAGGUCUACAUUUAAGGAUUUAAGGACAUUCAAAUAUUUAAGGUGGAAUAUUCCUUUAAACCAACCUAAAUUUCAUGUUUUGAUCAUUAUCAAGUGAGAAACCUCAAUCCAGACUCCUCAUAAUGACGUUUGAGAUUUAUGCUGCCGUUAUUUUUUUAGUCCAGACUAAAUGACAGAAAUCCACAACUGUAAUUUUAUUUCAGGACUUGGUUAUUAAAUGUCAGAACAAUCCAUGUGACUCUAAAAACUCAACAGCUUCACAAACUCUAAGAUUAAAUUCUCCACAAGGAUCCAAAAUAAGUUGGACUUCUAUAUGAGAGCUUUAAUUAUUCUUCAUCUACUUCCUGAAAAGUUUGGUCAAUAAAAAAGACAAAAACUAAUAUUUUCAGCUGAACUAAAGACAGACUUUGUGAUUUUUCUGCUCACAUGUUGUGUUGUUGUAAACUUACUCUUUCAAAUAAAUACCUGCCUAACCCCCUGGAAACCAGCGUUUGUCCUGUUUUUGUGUUGCUCCUCGGCGACCCUAGACAGCCGGGUC
Amphiprion ocellaris (clown anemonefish) is the source of this 3898-nucleotide long non-coding RNA. The record is from Ensembl. Lineage: Eukaryota; Metazoa; Chordata; Actinopteri; Pomacentridae.